This 1322-nucleotide long non-coding RNA is filed under the name Homo sapiens (human). RNAcentral describes it as "HSALNT0329683". The record is from RNAcentral. Lineage: Eukaryota; Metazoa; Chordata; Mammalia; Primates; Hominidae.
GAAAAAGCCAAUUUUACAUCUGAAUCAGGAAAUAAAAUUCUGGAAGGACGAUCUUCCCAUAAAUACAUAAAGUCCAGGGAAAACUACAGUGAAAACAGAAUUGUCAGGAUCAACUGUGUGACUGAUAAGGCAAAUGGGGAUAGGAAAUGUCUGAGGCCAGGAGCUCUGCUCUCACUUUUCUCCUUUUUAGCACUGGCAGGGCCAUGGGCUAAUAUAUGUGCUGGCAAGUCUUCCAAUGAGAUCCGGACGUGUGACCGCCAUGGCUGUGGACAGUACUCUGCUCAAAGAAGUCAGAGGCCUCACCAGGGUGUGGACAUCUUGUGCUCUGCUGGAUCUACUGUGUACGCACCAUUCACUGGAAUGAUUGUGGGCCAGGAGAAACCUUAUCAAAACAAGAAUGCUAUCAAUAAUGGUGUUCGAAUAUCUGGAAGAGGUUUUUGUGUCAAAAUGUUCUACAUUAAGCCAAUUAAGUAUAAAGGUCCUAUUAAGAAGGGAGAAAAACUUGGAACUCUAUUGCCCUUGCAGAAAGUUUAUCCUGGCAUACAAUCGCAUGUGCACAUUGAAAACUGUGACUCGAGUGACCCUACUGCAUACCUGUAAAUCGAAGGCCAAUGGUCAGAUCUUCAAAAUAAAAAGUCAUCUUAAAAACCUGGAUGCAUACCCUUCUCUUCAAGAAAUUUGUGUUCACAAAGGAAAAAUGCAUGAAGGGAUGGAUACCCCAUUUUCCAUGACAUGAUUAUUACACAUUGCAUGCCUGUAUCAAAACAUCUCACGUACCUCAUAAACAAAUACACCUAUGUACCCACAAAAAUUUUUUAAUUAAAAAAAGGAAAUUUGAGUUUAAAUAGAAACAUGAUAAAUGCAAGAAAGAAAACAUUUUGAUUUUAACUCAUUGUCACUCUGAUGUUCAUGUGAACUGGUUGCUUCGGGCUCUUUGAUCUGUCACCUAUGGAAUCUGAGUGGUUUUAUUUUUUAGAUUUCUCAGUCCCGAAGAUCUAAGAUAAAUAAACAAGAGAACUUACGCUGGGCCAGGCUGCAUUUUUGACACCUCUAAAACUAGCAACCUUUCUGCUUGAAAAUAAGAAAAAGCCUGAAAGUGUUUCUAUGGUACAAGAACAAUACUGUGGGGCAAACUGAGUGGAACAAGCUUGAAAACCAAAGUACUUACGUAAAAUUUAUUGAGUGCUUACUACGUGCUAACCACUAGCAUGGCAGAUUCUGGGGAUAAAACAGUGAGCAAAAAACAGCAAGGAUAUUGCACUGAUGGAGUUUACAGUGCAAUGGAACAAACAGCAUGAAAUUUAAUCUGUCCAGGAUUUUCA